CAGCAGCCGCUUGAGGUUGGAUGGAGGAGUAGAGCAUAAAGAGCUGAUGCCUGUGCCCCAGCUGCUGGGCCAUGGCAUGGCCUCUUCCCCUGGCCACCACUGCCUGUGGGUGAGGGCUGGCUGCCACCUCCUGAAAGGGAGAAAAGGCCCCAUGGCUGUCCUGUGUAUGCCAGUAGCAGUGGCAGGUGAGCAUCCAGCAGGAAAAGCUGUGGUGCUGUGUCUCCAAUGGGUGGAAAGUAUGUUGCUGUUAAAAUAAGAUACGGAAAACAAGAAAUGUAUACAUUUUUUAAGCACAGUUAAAUGCUUACGUCCUGAGUAAACUGGAGGAGAUCGCACUAUAAAUGGAAAGAGCCCAAAUACGACUUUAAAGGAACUUUAUGCAUGAAGACAUACUUUGCAUCAGCCACCCUGGCUACACACUCCUUAGCAGAAAAAAAGAAAUACACAGACAUUUCUUACCUCUGAAUAAUUUACUACAUGUGCAUUCCCAUCAAGAUGGUGGUAAGUUAAAUGCUUAAUUUAUUUUAGCUGUAUACUCUUUCUCUCUGAUGUUUCAUGCCAAACUGCUGUGGUAAGAAGUCAAAUAUAUUAAAGACGUAUAUUUUAAUUAAAAAUAUUAGCAGAAACAUAUUAGUGUUCCUUUUUUUUUAUUAAUAGCAGAUUGUUGGCCAACUAGGCAGCAGAGUUAUUUAUUCGGAAGACAUAUGUUAUUCUGUGGAGUAAUGCUACAAGUAGGACAUGGCAUGUGAUAAGUGGUUAUGUUGGCAAACUGCUUCACUUCCCUUCUGCUAAAUUAGGGGAGCACUAGGCAAAUCCUUCCCUGGUGCAGCCUGGCGUUGCUCUGAGGACAGUGGCAGAAUUGGCCUACUUUACCCUUGGAGGAUGUCUAGCCCUGAAACCAAAGCUAUCAUUUAGACCAUGUUUGGUGUUAGCAGAAAGACAUCACUUCUCAUGAACUAAUUUAGGACUGUUAUCUGUGAAGUUGUCAGAAGAAAAUAAGGUAAUGACACAUUAUGCAUGCCAGCCUUCUU
Molecule: long non-coding RNA, 1031 nt
Filed under: Numida meleagris (helmeted guineafowl)
Lineage: Eukaryota; Metazoa; Chordata; Aves; Galliformes; Numididae
Description: lncRNA (ENSNMEG00000017341.1)
Source: RNAcentral